This 1944-nucleotide long non-coding RNA is filed under the name Malus domestica (apple). Its description in RNAcentral is "long non-coding RNA (MDOM_LNC011554)". The record is from RNAcentral. Lineage: Eukaryota; Viridiplantae; Streptophyta; Magnoliopsida; Rosales; Rosaceae.
AAUAGAUAUACCAAAAUAUUCAAAUGUAUUAAUGUACCUAAAUGAAGAACAUACAAAAUUGUUAUUGGAAUAUAUAUUAUAAAAAAUUUAGUUGCCUAAAUGUAGACAUUAAAAUAUAUUAUGAUGAAUGAAAUAAAAAUUAAAUUUAAAUGUAAUUAAUACAUUAAAAUAAAAAUAAAAAGAUAAAAUAAAACAUCAAAAUACAACUAAUAAAUGAUAUGAUUAAAUGUGCUAGGGACUAAAAUUGGAUUUUAACCUUACAUAUGGUUAUAAUCUAAAACUCAUCUUUUUUAGGGAUUAAAAUGAAGUUUUAUAUUUUAUAAACCAUAUGAUGAGGUUGUUGAUGAUUGGAUUAUUAUUUUUUACUUUUUUUUAACAAAUGAUAUUUUCUAUAUGAAGGGGUCGGGGAGUGGACUAAGCCUCACAAUGGACUACCAAUAAUGUGGUUCAAAUUUGCAUUUUGGCGAUAAUCGAACCUAAGACCUCUCACUUGCAAGUGAAGAGGAAUACUACUAGAUCGUAGUACUAAGUGAUAUGAUUAGAUUAUUUCUUAAAUGUUAAUUAACGUGUUUAUUUUUUUAUUAGUGACACAUAUUUGUAAUUUAAAUUACUUUACCUAACAUUACUCGAUUUUUAUAUGUGAUAGUGUUUUUGUUUUCUUUCUUUUUCCUUUUAUGUAUGAACUUUUUUUGAGUUAAUUUUCUGUCAAGGUCAUAUUAAUAUGAAAAAUUAAUAUUAUAUUUAUGUCUCUUAUGUAGACUAUUUGCUAUCUUAUGUGGUUGGAUUUCAAUUGUUUUUUUGACGCAGUGUACCUAACAAUAUCGCACACAACCCAUUAAAUACGACAUAAAAUAAUACGAUACGAAAAAUUAAAUAUUUAGAUUGAGGUUUAAUGGGUUCAGGUUGCAACCAGUGGAGUUGUUAGUGACAUGAACUGACAAACUGAUUUAGUGUUACCCAAAUAUAUCCAUUUCAACCUGUUAAAAACACUCUUUUAAAUAACUUUUUACAGUACAUGCUUAUAGCUGGAUAUUUUAGCCUUGUUGAUUUUUUUUUUGUCAACUAAUAGAUUUGUUAGAUUAGAUGUUAGAUUAGGAAGCCAACGAGGUUCGAAUCCACAUCAUGAUGCAAGGAGAACACUCAUAUUCACCACUGUGAUUUGCCUUGUUGGUUGUUGGUAACCACUAAUUAUUUUAACAGGUCAAGUUUAAGUUUGAAUUAUAUUACUUAUUAGCUUAAUGAGUUGACACAGCCUUGUUAGUUGUUGGUAAUAACAGGUCAAGUUUAAGUUUGAAUUGUAUUACUUAUUAGCUUAAUGAGUUGACACAACACAAACCACUAAGAUAAUGAAUAAACAUGAACACAAAAUACAAAACUAGUUUCUCAAGUGGCAUGUUGAGCAAUUAUUUUUGGAUAUGAACAUGUGAUUCACUCUUUUCCUGCACAUGUAAAGUCCCACAAUGAGCCCAAUUUCAAAAUAAGUCACCUCUCAAUCCACUUGUGGGUUGGGCCCCUUGGCAUAAACCUACACCUUCCAUUUUUGUGCUUUAUUAGGUAGUGAUUCUCUCCCUGCUCCCACUUUCAAAAUACGUCACCCUUCAAUCCACUUGUGGGCUGUGGCCCUAUGGCAUAAACCUAUGCCUCCCAUUUUUUGCGUGAAAUUCGUGGCCUGGUGCUCUCCACUCUCCAUUAUAUCAGAGACUCACUCAUGUGGCCGUAACAUUUGCUGAGAAACGUGGACGCAGAGAAAACGUUUGUGAUGGAGAAUUCACAGUUGGCGACGAUGGAGGGCCAGGCCAGCCCUGAGAAUUUGGGCCCUAGGCGAGCCCUUUGAAGUGAGACUCUAAAAUUCUCUGAUUUACAGUUCUUUGUAUAUUGAUUUGUAUAAAAAAAGAAUUUGCUAAAUACAUAAAAAGUUCUAUUUUCACAUCAAAUAUCAUUAAA